CCUACGGGUGGCAGCAGUGGGGAAUAUUGGGCAAUGGGCGCAAGCCUGACGCAGCAACGCCGCGUGAAGGAAGAAGGCUUUCGGGUUGUAAACUUCUUUUCUCAGGGACGAAACAAGUGACGGUACCUGAGGAAUAAGCCACGGCUAACUACGUGCCAGCAGCCGCGGUAAUACGUAGGUGGCAAGCGUUAGCCGGAUUUACUGGGUGUAAAGGGCGAGUAGGCGGGGAAGCAAGUCAGAUUUGAAAACCUCUGGCUCAACCUUUGGCCUGCAUUUGAAACUGUGUUUCUUGAGUACUGGGGAGGCAGACGGAAUUCCUAGUGGAGCGGUGAAAUGCGUAGAGAUUAGGAGGAACACUCGUGGCGAAGGCGGUCUGCUGGACAGCAACUGACGCUGAUGCGCGAAAGCGUGGGGAGCAAACAGGAUUAGAUACCCCUGUAGUC
Molecule: ribosomal RNA, 443 nt
Filed under: uncultured bacterium
Lineage: Bacteria
Description: partial 16S ribosomal RNA
Rfam family: Bacterial small subunit ribosomal RNA
Source: RNAcentral